Long non-coding RNA from Passer domesticus (house sparrow), 7688 nucleotides. RefSeq lists it as uncharacterized. The transcript is spliced from 2 exons. The record is from RefSeq and is a predicted model, not a curated record. NCBI's taxonomy places the organism in Eukaryota, Metazoa, Chordata, Aves, Passeriformes, Passeridae.
UAACUCUGAAACUCAAAAAAAAAUACAACUUUCUAUUCAUAACAGUGACCAGUCCGACGUGAUAUCUGAUAAGGAUUCCAGGGUCCCCUCUGAGGUCCGGGCGGCGCCCCACUGAUUUCAGCCGCCGGACAAGACUGGGUAAACCCAUCAGAACCAAUCAGAUAGAAACGAACUUUUCUGUAGCCAGAAAGUUAGCCACAACCAAAUGGUGGAACAGGCCCAGAGCUCUCGAGGACGGAGGUAGCUCUCCGUGGAAGCCGGCUAUUUUUACCUGUAAAAACAACGUGCACGAAGAAUCCACGCAGGAAAACGGACCGUACGUAUCGCGUGGUUGGGGGGUGGAGUGUUCGUGUGUGCGUGUGAGACGUUGUGGGAACUCAGUACAUCACUCCGGAUGUCCAGAGCUACCGAGACAACCCUUGGGGGGCUCGGAGGCCCUGGAAUGUUGCCAAAAGUACCUGGUGGCUUGACUUUGAUCCUUUUAAAGAAAUGACACCUGAAGGUGAGGAGAUGAGAGAAUUUCAGGUCUGAAUGGUGAGGGGAUGUUAUUCACUUGUUAGAACUUAAGUUAGAAUGCACUGUACAGGGGGGUUUUAUGUGUUGUACAGGGGGGUCUAGAAUUCUGUGCAUGGAUCAGGAGUCCCAAGAUGGAGGAAUUUGGGCGUGCCCCGUCCUUCUUCUUUCUUCUCCUUGGCAUCCAUGUUCAGGAUGAUGUUGGCAUGUGUGGAUUGGUUCAUAGAAAGAGUACACUUGCCAACAAGGGCAGAAAGUAUUGGGAAGUAAAGGUAAAUAUCGAAUACGUAAUUUUCAUUAUAAAAGAGACAACCGCCUCGUGGGCGGGGGAGAGUGCCUUUGGCUGUCUUGCUGAUCAGACCUCGGCUGGACAGACAGAAAAUCUUUGUAGAUAAGAAAUAAUAAACUCGACUGAAGACCUAAAGCAAGAGUCCAGACUCCUUCUUCGAGAGCGCGGCCUACCCAGAACCACUUUUUCCCGUGCUGGGGCAGAGACAAGCAACAGCCGACCCCGGCAAGACGUAAUACAUAUCACGAAGCGAGUGCGGACCCUAAGAUCGCAGUUCCAUUUUUCCGUGAGGAAAGUGGUCGAUCGCAGGGGAAGCGAGUGGAAGGUUCGCUUGGAGCACACAUCACGAGUGCGUGUGAACGGGUAGAAAUACUACGAAGCAAGUGUGGAUCCAAGCAUCGCGACCAGUCAUGGGGAAAAGCGGGGAGUGAGCUCGCUUGGAACACGCAUCACGGGUGCGUGUGAACGGGGUAGAAAUACCACAAAGCGAGCGCUGAUCCCCGCGUGUGAACAGAAUAAAGUAUUACGUUUGGAACACACAUCAACCCGAGAAAAGCCCCGGGGAAGUUGAAAAGGAGGGGGGAAGAAGGGUUGCUUUGACGAUCACUGACUGGGUCAGGAGGACCGACAGGACCUUGCUGGAUCCAGGGAAAAGAAGACACCAGGAUAGACCCUCCAAGGUAAAGAGAAUAGGAGUGACAUCAGAGCCAUUAUGCAGAUGAGAAAUGCAUUGCGCCCCGAAUUUUUACAGUUUUUACAAGAAAAACCCCUAAAAUCACGAGCCAACAAGUGACUUAAGUGACAUCUAAGGAUGGGAGCGUAGUCCCGUACCUGCUUGGAUCCUUUUUGCUUCUCACUCUAACCUGAAAAGAUACUGAUUAAAGAGACACCCCGGGGUGUUAAACAAACAAGCCAGGAAUCUGCAACUCUCCCGUGAGGAUGGAAUCCUCAGCUCUGUCUGCAGACCAGCGGACAAAGCUGCGUCAUCCUCCUUCUCCGGGCCACACCUGGGAGCAACGGCGGCGUGGGCGCAACCCGUCAAUUUCUCCCCACCUGAGCCGAUUCUUCUUAAUAAAGGCAUUAAAAAGGACAAAGAUCUUCUGCCCAUUUAUUUCAGACACCAGAAAACCCAAGUUUUGUGUAAUCAUAUUCUCAAAAACUGUGGGUGUGUUAAGAAUAACAAAAGCAGGUAAUUGAAAAAUGUAUAAAUCUGCCAAAAAGUUAGUUUUUAAGAGCCUUUUGAAAGUUUGUGGGAAAGGCCAUAGAAGAAGCUUUAGAAGAAAUAUCUGAAUGGUUUAGAAUCAUGAAAGUUAUAAUGACUUUGCGUUUGAUGAAAUUAAGAAAUUGUCUGGAAAGGUUAAAUGGAAAUAAAAGGUAUGAAAUGAUGGUUUAUGGAGAAUGUAUUUCCAGCUGAGUGCACGCAUCGGGGAAUAGUAUACAGCUUUGGUGGAGUUUAGAAAAGAGACUCUGUGAGAUUCCUGGAAGUUAUUUUGGGAGUUUUUUUCUCUGAAGGUUUUUUUUUUUUUUAAUCUUGAAAAGGUGUAAGUUUUAAAAGCUUUUGGAGACAUUUAAAAUAGCUAUGAGGUAUUAAAGAGGAUUAGUUUGAAUUCUAGUGGUUUACAAAAAGGAAUUGAGCAAUUAAAAUUGAAAAUAAAAGUUACUAAAAAUAAGAGGAGACAUUUAAGGUCAUUUUCAUAAUGGUAGAUGAAAAACCUUCAUGGAAAUGAUAACCAGUCGAAAUUGUAUGUUUAAAAUACAAUGUGUAUUGUGGUCUAUAAUUAACGUGUGUUGAACCAGUCUCCAUUUGUCUCUAAUUGUUAAAUUUGUGCUGUAUAGUUAUAGUGUUUUGGAAGUAAGCUGGUGGUAUAUUAGAUGCUUAAACAAAAGAAAAGAAAUUUAAAACACCACCUGCAGUGUGUAAAAAGGAAAGCUACAUCAUGUAAAAAAUUUUUAAAAGUUUAAAUGCAUAUUUGAGAAGAACAGUGAAACAUUCAGAUUGUGAUAUUCAAACUUAUUCAAAAAAUGUUAUUAAAUGCAAAUUAGAUUCAAGUUGCAAGGAAUAUUGGAGGAAAAUUUGAAAUAAGACAAAGUAUAAAUUGCAUAAGUAACUGGUUGCAAAUAUUAUUGAUCUGUACAAAAAAUUGUCAUUAGAUUUGGGUUGCCUACUGCAAGAGGAAUAUAAGCCAAAGGCCUUGUAUGCAAAGUGUACAGAUCGAACUUCCUCAAGUUCAAGAAAGGGGAUUACAAUAUAUGUUUCAAGCCUGGGGUCAUCACCUUGUGAAAUAAAGUUGAAGAUAUUUUUUUUUAUAUAUUUUUUUUUGAACAUGGUACCUAUGAGGCAAAGAAAAAGUGAGUUAAAUGACUAAGAACUUUAAAUAGAAAUAAUAAUCCCUCUACACAUCUUUAGUCUAUCUUUUUAGGAUCAUUUCCAGGCAACACUUUUGAAUAUAACUGUGAUCCAGACCAAGGAAUAAGAGUGGAUCCUCGUCAAUCAAGAAGAACCGUGAGACAACCUGAGAAGGAGUCAAGAACAACUGAACUAAGUGGUACAAAAUUGCCUUUCAACGGUAAAGGGGUAAUAAUGAAUUGGGAAAACACAUGCAGGAUCACACCUGACUGGGAAGUGAGACCAAGCUUAUAUCAGUGGUUUCAAGUACCGCCUGGACAGACUUUAAAAUGCCUUUGGUAUCCACCUUGGCAAGAGAGUGUGCCAUCACAAACAGGGGGAUCUGGACUAUUUCGGACAGGAAAUUCCCGUAUUUUUGCCUUAGCCUGUGAUUUAUACAAAGAGGAGGGAGAGUUACAACCUAGAUCGGUGCCUCAUAAUAUACCCUGCUUGACCCAUCCAAACACUGGGCAUGCUAGUUGGGUAAAAUGUAAAUGUUUAAAUUGUGGGAGAAAUUGGUAUUGCAGUUCACACAAAAGAUGCUUGUAUUGCCGGGAGUGUCGGGGGACAAGUAGGUCCCCUAUCCAGAUGGAACAUGCGACGGCAGAAAUAAUAACUUUAUUUUGUGGAUGGGAAUUAUUAGUUCCUGUUACAUGGGAAAUACCUGAAAAACUGUGGGAAAAUACAGUCAAAGAGUGUCAAAGACGAUUUGCCUGGAAAUUGGCUAAAAGAAAGUAAAUGUAUAAAGGAUGAGUAAUAUCUGACUAGCCGUAUCUUAGAGCUUGCUACUGAAUUGAGCCUAAAUAUAAUUGGAUUUCCUGAAUUGGUAUCACUUGUUUCAAAGGGGAAUAAGGAAAAUAUUAGAUUCAAAAGGUUCAAAUGUUAACUAUUGAAUACCAAAGGUCAAAUAACAUACCCUGCGAAGCUGAUAUAGUCAAAUUAUUAAAGGGGGGGGGGGGUGCUGGGGUGCCUUUAAAAGGCGAUAUACAGCUCAGUCCAGACAUGAAACCCUGGAAGGACAUUCUUGCUGCCGUGAAGAUAACUUUAUCCUGCCACUGGCAGCAACCCAGUGGGUGUGGCAAAGGCAGAGGGAUACACCUGUGGGUAACUAUAAUGGGCUUGAGCCUAGCCAUGUGCUGUACAACUAGUCUGCACUUGGAAAUUCUGCCCGACAUUAAAAGGGCAGAAAUAUCAGCACCCCCGCCCCAGGAAGCUGCUGCAAGAGUAAGAAAAACACUGUACUCUAAACAGCAGGAAGUAUGAAAUCUGUAACAUAAGUGAAAAAAGAGAUAAUAUGCAGUAUGCAAAAAAAAAAAAAAAAAAAAAGCGAUAUCUAAGGACCGGCAGUCAGAAGCUCACACCUACAAAUUAUACAAGCAAGGUGUGGGGAAACUUAUUCCUGUGUGUAAUCAAUGUAAUAGAGCAAUAUGGGAUGAAUGAAAAAUAGAGUCAGAAUCUGUAAGCAUAUCUCAAAGUUAAUAAGCUAUGUUAUAAUAAAUUCAAGAUGUAUGCAAUGGAAGGAAACUUACUGGGUAAGAAAGAAUCUAAAGAUUAAGAGUAAAUAUGCACAUAACCAACCUGUUGUCCUAGAUCUUGCAGGAGAGAAUGAUGUGUUUACAAAAUGAUAAAGUUUUCUGGUUUGUUUUGAAGAAUAAAGAAAGGUUAAACUCAGAAAGUAAAAGGAAAUAAUAAGAAGCCUUAGAAUUAGAAAGACAAGAGUCAGAUUUAAAGAAAAAAAAUAGAACAGAGAAAGGCUGAGCACUUUAAGUGAAUGAUAAGACUAACUAGAGAAACUAUAUAAUAAUUUAAAGAUUACCUGCCUCAGAUAAGAAUUUGCUUAUAGAUCUGAUGCAAGAAAUUACUACCAAGUGAAAACUAACUGACUAUUUGAUUUAUGGGGGAUUAAAAGCAGCUGGAAUGUGACCAUAGAAAGGGUGGGGGUUUAACCCCAGAGCAACUUCUAAAAGAUCUUCAGCUAACUCUGCGCAGAUCACGCUAAUAGACCAGAUCAAAUGCAAAGAACCGGACUACCCUUGUUAUCCAUUUGUAUCAUUUAGGUGCUAUUAUUGUAAAAUAACGUGGGUGGCACAUUGUGAAAGGGGGGGGUGAGACCUAGGGAUCUGUAUGAAGAUUGUUUUAACCACAAAGUGCAUGUGACUAACCUAUUCUUGAUGCUCCUGACAGAACUGCGAGUGAUUGAAGCAGACUCUAUACUGUGGUUUAGGCUUUUUCAGAACAGAUUUAAGGGGAAAACUUCGGUAUCGGGCUCAAAUUUUGUCGAUCGAGUACCGGAAAGAGAACAAAGUACCCUGCAGUGCCCAGCCAGUAAGACUCAACUAGUGGGGAGUGUUUAAGCGAAGGUACGCAGCUCAGGCUAGCUAUGAUCUCCGAGAUAUUGAUUCCUGCUGCCAAGAAGAUGGUACUCCCUGCUGCUGGUGGCAACCCAGUGGGCGGGAGUGGGGGCAGAGGAAUAAUAAUCGGAGUAACCCUGAUGAGCCUGAGUCUAGUUGUGUGCCUCAGGACUAGCACAUAUGCUGAAACCCAGACAGAUUCAGAUCGGUGGGACCCCAGCCGGAUUUGUGAAAUUUGCACCGAGGACAGUCGGGGUGAAGCGGAGGCUUUACCUGACCUCCCCUCUACAGACUGCACUAAAGGCACGGCAUGUAGGUACUAUUGAUCAAACGGCACUUUGGAGCUUGUCUAAAAGAGGGGGGAAAAGUCUGCAUCUCGCAAGAGGUAGCGUCCAGAAUGGGUAAGUCAACCCAUAUCAGAAAAAGGCGCGGUAUUGAACCUGUUAAGAUUCCAAUAUGCGAUAAGUGCAAUCGUACUGUAUGGACUGGGGGAAGGAUGGAUUCGAUUUUUGUAGGUUAUUUCCCGGUCAAUCAAUUAUGUUAUAACAGUGAACAGUUGGGAAUGUGUACAAUGGGGGGGAAAACAUUGGGUGGGGAGAAUGUAAAAUACAAGAAUAAGAUUUCUUUGGGAAAAGAACCGGUCAUCAUAGGUUUACUCGAAGAUCAUGAUGAUCGAGCCUCCCUCCAAUAUGACAAAACUUUUUGUUUUUCCCGGAAUAAAGAAGGGGUGGACCCUGAAAGUAAAAUUCAACAGGUCACCCAAGAAUUAAAAAGGCAGGAAUCUGAAAUGAGAAAAUGUAGGAUCAAGCAAGAGAGGUUAAAAACUCUAAGCGAACAUUAUGAACAAUUGGAAAAGCAAUAUAGUGAAUUUGGCCUGCCAGCAUCAGACCAAAAACUUAUUCAUAGACCUCAUGUAGGAAAUUGCUACGGAAUUAGGUCUUACAAAUUGCUGGAUAUGUGGGGGUUUAAAAUAGGCCGAAAAGUGGUCUUGGAAAGGAGAAGGGUUAACCCCAGAACAGCUGCUUAAGUGGAAUCAGGACUUGCAGCUGAAAUAAAGAGGGUCACCCAUGUGCCCAUCCAGAAGUGGAACUCGAUCCUAAACACAUCCUGGUGGGACAAUCUGUGUAAUGGGGCAUGCUGGAUGAAGUUAAUCUUCUUUAUUCUCUGUUCCAUAUCAGGAGUCAUCUUCCUACCCUGUCUGAUCCCCUGCUUUAUCCAGUUGAUACUUUCAGUUGUACAAGGGAUGCAGAUAGCAGCCAUGCCAAUGGACCCAGAGAUGGCGACAGGAAAGGCUAACCCAGUCUCAAAGAUUAUGAACUUAGAGGAAGAUACCCCACAUAAAUGGGCAGCUAACACCCUAGCUCAGUUUGAGAAGCAAAUUGAGCACAACAGAUCAGAACUCAGGGAAUACCAGGGAAUACCUCAGGAUGAUUGAGAAGGAGGUCACUUGUAUGUAUAUAGAAAUCCACUAAAAAUAAAACACAUGGGUUUAAUUUUUAGAAUUACCCACAAAUUAAUGGGUUAAUAAAAGAGGUGAGGAAUUUGUUAUAGAUAUGGGUAGUAAUUCGUGGGAAUAAAAGGUGUAUCAAAAUAUAUAUGUAUAAAAUGAACUACUGGUGUACAAGGGGGGGGGAGAUUCUUACCCAGGAUGGCGAAACUGUGGCAGAUGGACAGAGAGGCACCACCACUUUUGCAUUUGAAGGAAACUUUGGCUGCACAGGAGAUGGGCAUUCACAAGGACCUGCACCCAGUGAUGCCUAAGCAAUGAUGGCCCAGACAAGAUACCUAUCUGAGAGGACCAGGGCCAUCAACACCUUCCAUCUGAAUGCCAGAAUCUGGGAACCGGGGAAGUGUAUUAUUCUAUUCCCGGACGGAGGAUUUGUGCAGCCCGAGCCAGAGAAAGAAACCAACUUGAAUAUGAAGAACUCAGAAAGAAACAAAGACAUCCUGCCGCGGACGAAAUAAACCGUAUAAGAACUGCUGCCUCGGAGCAGCCAGUGUGGACGGGGAGGAAUUGGUACUAGUGAGGCCAAUCUCACGUUCACCCGCAUAACCUGCCGGGGGUGGUGCGCUGUCCGAUUUGGUUGGUGGCUGUCGAGACUGUAUUACGGUCGCUAAAUAAAUUUUAUUUUUUAUAUUUUUAUUAAAA